This 605-nucleotide ribosomal RNA is filed under the name uncultured Actinomycetes bacterium. RNAcentral describes it as "bacterial SSU rRNA". It matches the Rfam family "Bacterial small subunit ribosomal RNA", at positions 35 to 643 of the family's 1533-position model. Lineage: Bacteria; Bacillati; Actinomycetota; Actinomycetes. The record is from RNAcentral.
GCUGGCGGUGCGCCUUAUGCAUGCAAGUUGAGCGAAGCUUUUUGGUAGUUUACUACUAGAAAUGACUGAGCGGCGAACGGGUGAGUAACGCGUGAGCAAUCUACCUUAGUUACUGGGAUAGCCCGAGGAAACUCGGAUUAAUACCGGAUAUUCUUAUUUUUUCACAUGAAGUUUUAAGGAAAGGUCAGCCGAACUAAGAUGAGCUCGCGUUCUAUCAGCUAGUUGGUGGGGUAAAAGCCUACCAAGGCUACGACGGAUAGCUGGUCUGAGAGGACGAUCAGCCACACUGGGACUGAGACACGGCCCAGACUCCUACGGGAGGCUGCAGCAGGGAAUAUUGUGCAAUGAGCGAAAGCUUGACACAGCGACACCGCGUGUGGGAUGACGGUUCUAGGAUUGUAAACCACUUUCAGGAGGGAAGAAAAUGACGGUACCUCCACAAGAAGACCCGGCCAACUAUGUGCCAGCAGCCGCGGUAAUACAUAGGGGUCAAGCGUUGUCCGGAUUUAUUGGGCGUAAAGAGCUUCGUAGGCGGUCCAACAAGCGGGUCGUAAAAAGUUUAGGGCUCAACCCCUAAAAUGUCGAUCCGGAUACUGUUGUGACUA